AGCUUUUUAUAGUGGCAGGAACAUAGCCAAUGAGGUUUAUCCAAGGCGUGAUUAUUGAUAAUUGAAAACUUUUCCCAUGU
Molecule: small nuclear RNA, 80 nt
Filed under: Sorex araneus (European shrew)
Lineage: Eukaryota; Metazoa; Chordata; Mammalia; Eulipotyphla; Soricidae
Description: U4 spliceosomal RNA (ENSSARG00000018011.1)
Rfam family: U4 spliceosomal RNA
About the family: U4 small nuclear RNA (U4 snRNA) is a component of the major U2-dependent spliceosome. The structure of U4 snRNA from yeast and human has been reported.
Source: RNAcentral